Molecule: ribosomal RNA, 269 nt
Filed under: uncultured Planctomycetales bacterium
Lineage: Bacteria; Pseudomonadati; Planctomycetota; Planctomycetia; Planctomycetales
Description: partial 16S ribosomal RNA
Rfam family: Bacterial small subunit ribosomal RNA
Source: RNAcentral
GAGCACGUAGGUGGGUUUGUAAGUCAGAUGUGAAAGCCUUCUGUUCAACGGGAGAAUUGCAUCUGAAACUACAGACCUUGAGUAUAGGAGGGGAGAGUGGAACUUCUGGUGGAGCGGCGAAAUGCGUAGAUAUCAGAAGGAACGCCGGCGGCGAAAGCGAUUCUCUGGCCUAUUACUGACACUCAGUGUGCGAAAGCUAGGGGAGCAAACGGGAUUAGAUACCCCGGUAGUCCUAGCCGUAAACGAUGGGCACUAAGUAGAGGGGUUUU